GUCUAAGCAUGGCAUAGUGGUUUGAGCUUUGGACUAUGACUCUGGUUACCAGGGUUCAAAUCCCCACUUGGCCA
Molecule: non-coding RNA, 74 nt
Organism: Phrynosoma platyrhinos (Desert horned lizard)
Lineage: Eukaryota; Metazoa; Chordata; Lepidosauria; Squamata; Phrynosomatidae
Source: the annotation of a GenBank genome assembly